RNAcentral lists this ribosomal RNA (437 nucleotides) under uncultured bacterium. RNAcentral describes it as "partial 16S ribosomal RNA". It matches the Rfam family "Bacterial small subunit ribosomal RNA", at positions 28 to 507 of the family's 1533-position model. The record is from RNAcentral.
GAUGAACGCUGGCGGCAUGCCUAACACAUGCAAGUCGGGCGAGCAGUGGUGGUUCUAGUGCCGGACGCGUGAGCAACGCGUGAGAAACUGACACGUGGAGGGCCACAACAUCUGGCAAGGGCAGCUAAUACACCCCGGGCUGAGGAGCAAAAAGUGGAAUCCGCCUGAGGGUGGGCUCGCGUCAGAUUAGCUAGCUGGUGAGUCAAUAGCUUACCAAGGCGCUGGACAGUAGCGGGUUCGAGAGGAUGAUCAGCCACACUGCGACUGAGACCCGGCGCAGACUCCUUCGCGCGGCAGGCGUGGGGAUGUUGCCGCAAUGGGCGGAGGCCUGACGGGGCCUUGCCGCGUUGAGGUAGAGUUCUUAGGGGUCGUCAACUGCGUAACCCGGAGAAGAAGCAAUGACGGUAUCUGAGGAAAAAGCAUCGGCUAACUCCGUG